GAACUCUUUAAAGAUUUGUUCACUUUUUAAUAUUUACUAGUUUUUCAUGAUAGGAUGGUAUCCGUUUGUGGGGGUUCAUUGGCUUUGCAAGAUGCUGAAGUUUCAAUUAAGUGUCCAAUUGCUGGCCUAGCAAUGGGAUUGGUUCUUGGUACAAAGAAUUUGGGGAGAUGGAACUCCACUUAUUCUGUUUGACAUAACAGAAUCUGAGGAUGCUUCCAGAGAUAUGGAAUUUAAGUUAGCUAGUAACAAAAUGGGCAUAACAGCAUUUCAGAUGGACAUAAAGGUGGGAGGCAUUACUAUACUCAUUAUGAGAGGUGCUCCUGCAAGCAAAGUUUAGGCGUAAGUAUAUUCUUUGUUAAUAAACCCUCUUCGGUACUUCCUUUUAGAACUUGUUUAUGAUUGGGAAUUUGUUUAUGAGGAAGAAAUCUAAUUAGUUGGCAGUGUGUAUAUUCAUUACAUUGUAUCAAAGAGAAAUUUUAGCAA
Long non-coding RNA from Cucumis melo (muskmelon), 483 nucleotides. RefSeq lists it as uncharacterized. The transcript is spliced from 3 exons. The record is from RefSeq and is a predicted model, not a curated record. NCBI's taxonomy places the organism in Eukaryota, Viridiplantae, Streptophyta, Magnoliopsida, Cucurbitales, Cucurbitaceae.